RNAcentral lists this ribosomal RNA (254 nucleotides) under uncultured bacterium. RNAcentral describes it as "partial 16S ribosomal RNA". It matches the Rfam family "Bacterial small subunit ribosomal RNA", at positions 524 to 776 of the family's 1533-position model. The record is from RNAcentral.
UACGUAGGGUGCAAGCGUUGUCCGGAAUCAUUGGGCGUAAAGAGCUCGUAGGCGGUGUGUCACGUCGGCCGUGAAAACUUGCAGCUUAACUGUGGGCGUGCGGUCGAUACGGGCAUCACUGGAGUUCGGCAGGGGAGACUGGAAUUCCUGGUGUAGCGGUGAAAUGCGCAGAUAUCAGGAGGAACACCGGUGGCGAAGGCGGGUCUCUGGGCCGAUACUGACGCUGAGGAGCGAAAGCGUGGGGAGCAAACAGG